Molecule: ribosomal RNA, 496 nt
Filed under: uncultured bacterium
Lineage: Bacteria
Description: partial 16S ribosomal RNA
Rfam family: Bacterial small subunit ribosomal RNA
Source: RNAcentral
AUGAACGCUGGCGGCGUGCCUAAUACAUGCAAGUCGAGCGCACGGACGAGAAGCUUGCUUCUCUGAUGUUAGCGGCGGACGGGUGAGUAACACGUGGAUAACCUACCUAUAAGACUGGGAUAACUUCGGGAAACCGGAGCUAAUACCGGAUGAUAUUUUGAACCGCAUGGUUCAAAAGUGAAAGACGGUCUUGCUGUCACUUAUAGAUGGAUCCGCGCUGCAUUAGCUAGUUGGUAAGGUAACGGCUUACCAAGGCAACGAUGCAUAGCCGACCUGAGAGGGUGAUCGGCCACACUGGAACUGAGACACGGUACAGACUCCUACGGGAGGCAGCAGUAGGGAAUCUUCCGCAAUGGGCGAAAGCCUGACGGAGCAACGCCGCGUGAGUGAUGAAGGUCUUCGGAUCGUAAAACUCUGUUAUUAGGGAAGAACAUAUGUGUAAGUAACUGUGCACAUCUUGACGGUACCUAAUCAGAAAGCCACGGCUAACUACGUG